GAUGAAGAACGUAGUGAAAUGCGAUACGUAAUGUGAAUUGCAGAAUUCAGUGAAUCAUCGAAUCUUUGAACGCAUAUUGCGCUCUCUGGUAUUCCGGAGAGCAUGCUUGUUUGAGUAUCAGUAAACACCUCAACUUCCAUAUCUUUUUUGAAAUGGGAGUUGGACUUGAGUGAUCCCAACGCUUUUCCUCACCGAAAAGUGGCGGGUUACUUGAAAUGCAGGUGCAGCUGGACUUUUCUCUGAGCUAUAAGCAUAUCUAUUUAGUCUGCCUGAAAAACAGAUUAUUACCUUUGCUGCAGCUAACAUAAAGGAGAUUAGUUCUUGUGCUGACUGAUGCAGGAUUCACAAAGACGGCUUCGGCCGACUUUGUAAACUCGAUCUCAAAUCAAGUAAGACUACCCGCUGAACUUAAGCAUAUCAAUAAGCGGAGGA
Molecule: unclassified non-coding RNA, 432 nt
Filed under: soil metagenome
Description: partial contains 5.8S ribosomal RNA, internal transcribed spacer 2, and large subunit ribosomal RNA
Rfam family: 5.8S ribosomal RNA (bases 1-120)
Source: RNAcentral